RNAcentral lists this transfer RNA (89 nucleotides) under Baekduia soli. RNAcentral describes it as "tRNA-Leu". It matches the Rfam family "tRNA". From Rfam's summary of the family: Transfer RNA (tRNA) molecules are approximately 80 nucleotides in length. Their secondary structure includes four short double-helical elements and three loops (D, anti-codon, and T loops). Further hydrogen bonds mediate the characteristic L-shaped molecular structure. tRNAs have two regions of fundamental functional importance: the anti-codon, which is responsible for specific mRNA codon recognition, and the 3' end, to which the tRNAs corresponding amino acid is attached (by aminoacyl-tRNA synthetases). tRNAs cope with the degeneracy of the genetic code in two manners: having more than one tRNA (with a specific anti-codon) for a particular amino acid; and 'wobble' base-pairing, i.e. permitting non-standard base-pairing at the 3rd anti-codon position. Lineage: Bacteria; Bacillati; Actinomycetota; Thermoleophilia; Solirubrobacterales; Baekduiaceae. The record is from RNAcentral.
GCGCCGGUGGCGGAAUUGGUAGACGCGCAAGGUUGAGGGCCUUGUGGGGGGAUUCCCCCGUGGAGGUUCGAGUCCUCUUCGGCGCACCU